GUGCCAGCAGCCGCGGUAAUACGGAGGAUCCAAGCGUUAUCCGGAUUUAUUGGGUUUAAAGGGUGCGUAGGCGGAAUUGUAAGUCAGUGGUGAAAUCUUGCAGCUUAACUGUAAAAUAGCCAUUGAUACUGCAGUUCUUGAGUACAGUUGAGGUAGGCGGAAUGUGUAAUGUAGCGGUGAAAUGCUUAGAUAUUACACAGAACACCGAUUGCGUAGGCAGCUUACUAAGUUGUAACUGACGCUGAUGCACGAAAGCGUGGGGAUCGAACAGGAUUAGAAACCCCCGUAGUCC
Molecule: ribosomal RNA, 292 nt
Filed under: uncultured bacterium
Lineage: Bacteria
Description: partial 16S ribosomal RNA
Rfam family: Bacterial small subunit ribosomal RNA
Source: RNAcentral